Molecule: ribosomal RNA, 497 nt
Filed under: uncultured bacterium
Lineage: Bacteria
Description: partial 16S ribosomal RNA
Rfam family: Bacterial small subunit ribosomal RNA
Source: RNAcentral
GAUGAACGCUGGCGGCGUGCCUAAUACAUGCAAGUCGAGCGAACAGAUGAGGAGCUUGCUCCUCUGACGUUAGCGGCGGACGGGUGAGUAACACGUGGAUAACCUACCUAUAAGACUGGGAUAACUUCGGGAAACCGGAGCUAAUACCGGAUAAUAUAUUGAACCGCAUGGUUCAAUAGUGAAAGACGGUUUUGCUGUCACUUAUAGAUGGAUCCGCGCCGCAUUAGCUAGUUGGUAAGGUAACGGCUUACCAAGGCAACGAUGCGUAGCCGACCUGAGAGGCUGAUCGGCCACACUGGAGCUGAGACACGGUCCAGACUCCUACGAGAGGCAGCAGUAGGGAAUCUUCCGCAAUGGGCGAAAGCCUGACGGAGCAACGCCGCGUGAGUGAUGAAGGUCUUCGGAUCGUAAAACUCUGUUAUUAGGGAAGAACAAAUGUGUAAGUAACUAUGCACGUCUUGACGGUACCUAAUCAGAAAGCCACGGCUAACUACGUG